Astyanax mexicanus (Mexican tetra) is the source of this 1442-nucleotide long non-coding RNA. RefSeq lists it as uncharacterized. Lineage: Eukaryota; Metazoa; Chordata; Actinopteri; Characiformes; Acestrorhamphidae. The transcript has 2 exons. The record is from RefSeq and is a predicted model, not a curated record.
UUUAGGCGCUAAACAGCAGCCAAUCAGUUCUUCAGAUGAUCCAAGGUGCAAAACAGCAGCCAAUCAUAAUAAUCCUCUAAGAGACAGAGGCGGAGCCUGUUGGUUAGUGGACGUCAAUCCCUGGCUGUUUUAACCCAGAAAGUUCUGCGGGAGAAGAGAGAUAGGUCAUGUAAGAAGUUCUCAGCUCAAAGUAUUAAAAAAAUACUAUAAAUUGCUAGAAUUCAGUGCUGUAGAUAGUGAGUAAAUCACUACCAAGCUGACCGCUGUUAGAUUUGAGGCUGCAGAAUGGAGGAAGGGAGAGAGGCUCACUUAUUCUGCCUCGUGAAACUUUGCCAGUUACACGCUCCGGUAAUCUCCAGGUGGAGGUAGAACCUGGUGUCCAUGUGCCCUGGGGUGGUGUGUGAAAACCCUGGAUAGGAUUCGGCCAGUUUUUUUGUUGGGUGGAAUGGAUUGGAUGAUCUUCCCGAACACUCCUCGUGUCGUUCAGCUGCACAUGGCCGGUGCAGUGCGCGGUGCUAGGAUGGCGAGCCAAGCCCGAGGACCCAAGUGACUUCAUUACACUUCAUUCACAUUUUCAAACACUUGAUAGUGAACAUUAAAGAAAUUUGUGGACUUUGAAAUUAUUUGAGUAAAAAAGGACACUUUUAAUUUGUUUAUUUUUUUGAAAGAAAAGGGACACUUCUAUUUCAAUACAAAGACACUAAAAGGGUUAAACUUUUAAUUGGUUUGAUUACUGUUAUUUAAUUUAGAUAAUUUCUAAGUGGUUUUGAUAUUCAUUCAUUAUUGUUUUUGCUACAGAGAAUUGUUAUUUUUUAUUUUUGGUUGUUUGUUAAAGGGUGAACUAUUGGUGUAAAAUAACCUAGAGGUUUAAUUGGAUAACACUAAUUAUAACAAUACUUGCCUUAAAUUAAUAAUCCGUCAGACCUAGAAGGAAGAAAUAAUUAAUUAGUUAUAAAAUACCUAUAAAUAGAUUAAAAUAAUACUUACCUUAAACUGCAUAAAUACCUCUAAAAUAAAGAACACCGGUGAUUAGAGAAAUAAUAGUAAUUAAUAUAAUAUUAAAUAUACAAUACUGAAAUACAAAGGGGAAACUUAGCAUUUUCAUUGUUGACCAAGGUUAUUGAAGGUUGAAUUUCUUUUGGAAAAUGAGUAACUGUGAAUUGUUUAUUUAUUUAUUUACAGAAUUUGUUUAUUUUUGUUACAGUAUUUUAUUUAACUAUUGCAAUUGAUUCUGACAUUAUAAUACACUUUAUUGUUGCACAAAUUCUGGUCUCAUUUCUUCCAUGUGUAUUGCUCCUAGAGCGAACCUAACUGGUCCUAGUUAUCCUAAUUAUUUUAUCAAGUAAAACUCAUUGUAGUGGUUGUGUAAUUGGGUCUAUAUAUCUGUUGUGCUACACUCUACCCUGUUUUGUUCUUUGUAAUAAAUUAAAGAUUUAAUUUCA